AUGAAAUUAAAAAAAAAAAUAUAUAUAUAUAUAUAUAUAAAAUUAUGUAUGUAUGUAUGUGUGUGUAUGUGUGAAACAGAAAGACUGAGGGAGUUCUUUUGUUGUUGUUGUUGUUGUUGUUGUUUUUUUCUUUUUCUCUUGGACCUUAUUUAUUACAUGAUGAUUUUACUAUGUAAAGGAGCACAGUGGCAAUAGCUGAAGUUGUCUUUUUUUAAUUUAUUUUUUAAAAAUAUGUAUUAAGAAAAUAAAGUCAAUCCCUCUGAUGGAAGCUGGAGCAAGGGUUACAUAUGAUUCAAGCUGGCUUAUAAACAAUAAUAACUCAUUUAUGAUAUGUAUAUAUCAACAGCCUCUUUCACUACGCUUACAUCAUGUGGAGACAGAAUAAAGGAAGACAGAGUUAUGCUACAUGUUAUUUUGUGAAUAAGAGAUUAUUAUAAUUAUAAUACACAUUAAAUGUAUGUUUAAUUAUGUUGAAUUAAUAUAAAAUAAUAUAUUAAUUUUAUUUAACUAUAAUUAGUUGUGACUGUGAUAAUAAAGGAAAAACAAACAGUGCUUCUGUGCAUGCAAAAAUGUUUAUUGUUACCACCAUAUUCUUAAUUCUAAAUCUUUAUAAUAAUAAUAAUAAAAAUGGAAACAAUGCACUGAAACAAUUGCUCAUGUAUUAUUUUAAAUUUAGAGAAAGAGAGAAAAACAUUUUUUACUAAAUAUAUUCUACUCUCAAUUAUGGUUGUUUUGUAUUUUUAAGCAGUUUUAUUUUCACAAUUUAAUCAAUAAAUGGUACCAUAUUUAAUUGCAAGCUUUAAACAGAUUUCAUUAUGUAAAAAGGCAAAGCAAAGAAGGCAACAUUAAUUUUUUUUUCAAAUUCAAAAUGCAUUAAAAAUACAAUUUAUGGAAUGAAAUGAAAAUUUUAUGUUGAUGGGGUCAGUGUUUAUUUAAUAUUAAAAGCUAAAUACUAUAGAAUGACAUGUGAAUAAGAGGUGAAUUCUAGCGUUUAUUCUGUCAUGUUAUUUUGAAUCCAGUUGACAUGCAAAUAUUGGACUAAUAUGAGAUGUUUUGUUUACCUGUUCUACUUUUAAUGUCAUUUGACUAAAGGAAAACCACUGGGCCAGUCAAUGUGAACUUUAGUACUUUGAUAUAAAGUAGGCCUAUAAGAAAUUUUAGGGGUCAUCCCUUCAACCCACAUAUCUUGAUUGCUGUUCAUAUGUAUUACAUAGUUGUCUGUUGUUAGAUUUUUAAUUGUGAUGUUUACCAUCUUCAAUAACAGUUUGAUAAGCUGAAUACAAGGGUCCAAACAAGGGUAGAUCAAUGACCAAUGUUGUCGUAAGGUAUAAAAAAUACCAAAAUGCCUUCAUAAUGUUGAACUGUUACAAAUAAAGAUGAUUUAUUAAACCAUAUAUGGUUAAAGUGUGUUUUGACACUGUUGUGUUUCCUCAGCCCCUCCUCUCUCUAUUUUUCCAUGGAAACUCAGGGAAGAGUUGAGGUAAGAACUAGUCUGAACAUGACAGCUUCACCAUGGAGGCACACAGUCACAACACCAAUUGUGUUUUGGAUACAUGCAAAAUAUGCACGUUAAAGGACAUAUAUUAAAUAUGCAUCGACAUUUCUUGGGUUUAAACGUAAUACAUUUAAUAUUUACUUUUGUAAACCGAACACUCUGCUGCAGCCGAAAAAAUGUCCUUGGAGCUUUUCUAGUUUUAAAUUAUAGUAAAUACAGUAUACAGUUAAACAGAUCGUCA
Molecule: long non-coding RNA, 1736 nt
Organism: Cyprinus carpio carpio
Lineage: Eukaryota; Metazoa; Chordata; Actinopteri; Cypriniformes; Cyprinidae
Source: Ensembl